RNAcentral lists this long non-coding RNA (1098 nucleotides) under Ananas comosus (pineapple). Its description in RNAcentral is "long non-coding RNA (ACOM_LNC038064)". The record is from RNAcentral. Lineage: Eukaryota; Viridiplantae; Streptophyta; Magnoliopsida; Poales; Bromeliaceae.
CUCUUUAACUCUUCGAAGCUCCGAUCGCAAUCGUCGCUCCAAACAUACUUUACCCCCUUAUGCGUGAGGUGUUAAGGAUUUUAUAGGUUGGCGAAUUUCGUAAAGUUGUUUGGAGUCUUGAAGAGUUGAUUGCAGAAGAUUUUGAGAAAAGAUUCAAAUUGGAGGACAAAGACUCAUUCGGAAAGAUCGACACCUAAGGUAUGUAGAAAAGAUCAUUUGUGGUGAAGAUACAUGUUUAAAAUAAGUUCAGAAGACUUAGAUUGCUUUAAAAACAAUUUCCUGAACAUUCAUGUGUUCUGGGACCGGUCUCUGAGAUGGAGAGACCGGUUCCCCCAAGGUCCUCACUGCGUAAUCCUUGAUGCAACCGGUCCCCUGUGGUGAGAGACCGGUUCCCGAACCUUGGUGGUUCUGUCACGCAGCGAGGGACCGGUCUCAAGUUUGAGAGACCGGUUCCCGAACGUGGGGUUUUUGGUUACGCAGAGAGGGACCGGUUCCUCACUUGAGAGACCGGUCUCUCACAGACCGGUCUCCUCGACAGGACCGGUCUCUGAGGACGACACGAGUUUUUGAAAUCGACUUUUUGCAAUCCUAGUCUACUUCUAAGUCUUCUAAACAUAUAAAUAAGCUAUGUGGGCCGUCUAAAAAAAAGGCUUCUGAAUAUUUUACCAAUUCCAAACCCUAGAAACUCGUUUUCUUCGCUUCGAUUUACAUGAUGAGUUUCUAGCAAUCAACAUCGGCUUGAUUCUUCGUUUUUACUUAAUAUUUCUUACGAGAAUCAAGUAGAUGAUUGAUUAAAGGUGAACCCUCAUAGCUUAUGGUUUUCAAAAGUUGAAUCACCGCAAAUCUUCGAUUCUACAAGCUCCGGAAGGAGGUUUGGCGCGUGGAUCUCGCGCGAAGCUGAGGAUUCGGUGGACGCUUCGAGGAGUUGAGGCGUUGACGCUGCGAGGAGUUGCAGCAAGGUCGAUUGGUGGAUUCCUAUCGAUCGAGGACCGGCAAAGAUCUCUGUCAAUAAGAAAUCGGUAAAUUGAGUCGCGUGUUUUUGGUCGAAAUCACUUGUACUCAAGUUUUCUUAGUGGAUUUUCUUUGCGUGAUCGGUCC